AGUAAAGUGCCUGAUAAAAGGAUUAUUCUGAUAGGAUAAAUUAAGCAAAUUUUUACCUUUAUUA
RNAcentral lists this transfer RNA (64 nucleotides) under Gynaephora aureata. RNAcentral describes it as "tRNA-Ile". Lineage: Eukaryota; Metazoa; Arthropoda; Insecta; Lepidoptera; Erebidae. The record is from RNAcentral.